This is an RNA transcript of Epinephelus moara (kelp grouper), 4823 nucleotides long. It is a transcript of the gene named importin 8, with no coding region annotated. Lineage: Eukaryota; Metazoa; Chordata; Actinopteri; Perciformes; Serranidae. The record is from RefSeq and is a predicted model, not a curated record. The transcript is spliced from 26 exons.
CAACGGCAACCAUUCUCGGUCAAGCUAGUGAGAGUUUGACAAACAGAAAAGCGACAGUGCCUUCAGAAUAAACGCACCGCCGCUGCUCAACGAGUCUUCCGCCAAUGAGCCAUUUACUUUGAAUGUAGCGACCGGGGCUUGUAUGUGUAACUGGAAAGUUUGACCCUGUUUGAGCCACAGUGAAUAGAUCCAUAACGCUUGGCUGAAUAUAAGACAGAAACGUAAGCUAACGCUACAUGUUCGGGAUACUUAAAACACAGGAGGAACCGUGCAGUUAAACAUAUGGAUCCCAACCGGAUAAUCCAGGCUCUGAAAGGGACAAUCGACCCUAACCUGAGGAUAGCGGCGGAGAAUGAACUCAAUCAGUCAUUCAAGAUCAUCAACUUUGCCCCGACCCUGCUUCAAAUCAUUGUGUCUGAGCAAGUGGAGUUUCCUGUUCGCCAGGCAGCUGCCAUCUACUUGAAGAACAUGGUGAGUCAGUACUGGCAGGACAGGGAGCCAUCUCUGGGCGAGGUAGUCUUUCCAUUCAACAUCCAUGAGAAUGACCGGCAGCAGAUCAGAGACCACAUAGUGGAGGGCAUCAUCCGCUGUCCAGAGUCCAUACGUGCCCAGCUAACCAUGUGUCUGAGAGCCAUCAUCAAGCAUGACUUCCCUGGCCGCUGGACCACCAUAGUGGACAAGAUCGGCAUGUAUCUGCAGUCUCACAACAGCGGCAGCUGGUACGGCAGCCUGCUGGCUCUUUAUCAGCUGGUCAAAACAUAUGAGUACAAAAAGGCAGAUGAGAGGGAACCGUUGCUGGCAGCCAUGCAGAUCUUUCUGCCAAGGAUUCAGCAGCUCAUCAGCCAGCUGCUGGCGGAUGCCACCAUCUUCUCUGUCCUUAUCCAGAAACAGAUCCUCAAGAUCUUCCACGCUCUUGUACAGUACUCGCUGCCCUUACAGCUGAUCAACAACACAGUGAUGACUCAGUGGAUGGAAAUCUUCCGAACCAUAAUGGACCGAGACGUCCCAGCUGAGACGUUGGAGGUGGAUGAGGACGACCGUCCAGAACUGGCAUGGUGGAAGUGUAAGAAGUGGGCGUUACGCAUCAUCACCAGAAUGUUUGAACGGUAUGGAAGCCCAGGCAAUGUGACAAAGGAGUACUACGAGUUUGCAGACUUUUUCCUGAAGACAUAUGCAAUGGGCAUACAGCAGGUCCUGCUAAAGGUGGUGGACCAGUACCGACAGAAGCAGUAUGUUACUCCUCGCGUCCUGCAGCAGUGCCUCAACUACCUCAACCAGGGCCUGUCACACUCACUAACCUGGAAACAGAUGAAGCCACAUAUGCAGACCAUAUGCCAGGAAGUCAUAUUCCCUCUCAUGUGUUACAAAGAUGAGGAUGAAAAGCUCUGGCAGGAAGACCCUUAUGAGUACAUCCGGAUGAAGUUCAGUGAGUACUCCGACCUUUAUGAUGACCACACCCUACCUGCCACUGCUGCCCAGAGUGUCUUGUGUAAAGCUGCCCGCAAGAGGAAGGAGGUUCUCCCUCAGAUGAUGGAGUUUUGCCACCAGAUACUGAUGGACCCCUCUGCUGACCCUCGAAAGAAGGACGGUGCACUACACUGCAUUGGAGCUCUGGCUGAGCUCUUACUGAAGAAGCGGAUGUACAGGGAGCAGAUGGAGCUGAUGCUGCAAAACUAUGUCUUCCCUCUGCUUAACUCUCCUGUUGGUUACCUGCGAGCCAGGUCUUGCUGGGUGCUACACUGCUUCAGCCCACUGCGUUUCCAUGAUGAGCUAGUGCUGAGGAACGCUGUGGAAUUGGUCAAACAGGAUCUGAUUGACGACAAAGAGAUGCCUGUCAAGGUGGAAGCCGCCAUAGCUCUGCAGACGCUGGUCAGCAACCAGGAACAAGCCAAACUGUACAUCAGGCCCUACAUCCGGCCAGUCAUGCAGGAGCUGCUGCAUGUGGUGAAAGAAACGGAAAAUGAUGACCUGACCAACGUCAUUCAGAAGAUGAUCUGCGAGUACAACCAGGAGGUGGCUGUUAUUGCUGUUGACAUGACGCAGAACUUGGCAGAAAUUUUCACCAGGGUCCUUCAGAGUGAGGAGUACGAGGAGAAUGAGGACAAGACCGUCAUGGCCCUGGGCAUUCUCAGCACCAUUGACACGAUCCUCACCGUCAUGGAGGACCACAAGGAGAUCACUCAACAGUUGGAGGGGAUCUGUUUGCAGGUGAUCGGUCUGGUCUUGCAGAAGCCCAUCAUAGGUAUGGCAGAGUUCUAUGAGGAGAUCUUGUCACUGGCAUUCGGCCUCACCUGUCAGACCAUCUCCCCCCAGAUGUGGCAGCUUCUAGGUGUCUUGUACGAGGUCUUCCAGCACGACUGCUUCAACUACUUUACAGAUAUGAUGCCUCUUUUGCACAACUAUAUUACUGUGGAUACAGACAUGCUCCUGUCCAACCCUAAGCACUUAGAGGUCAUCUACAGCAUGUGCAAAAAGGUGCUGACUGUGGAUGCAGGUGAGGAUGCAGAGUGUCACGCUGCCAAACUGUUGGAGGUCGUCAUCUUGCAGUGCAGGGGUAGAGGCAUUGACCAGUGCAUCCCUUUGUUUGUGGAGGCAGUUCUGGAGCGUUUGAUGCGGGGGGUGAAGUCCAGUGAGCUGAGGACUAUGUGCCUGCAGGUGGCCAUUGCUGCUCUGUACUACAACCCAGCCCUGCUCAUCCACACUCUGGACAACAUGCACUUCCAACACAGCCCUCAGCCCAUCACUGCCCACUUCAUCAACCAAUGGAUGAACGACACAGAGUUCUUCCUGGGGCUCCAUGACCGUAAAAUGUGCAUCAUUGGCCUGAGCGUGCUGAUGGAGCUGCCCAACCGGCCAGCAGUGUUAGAGGGAGUCGCCGCUCAGAUUGUUCCCUCCAUCCUGCUCCUAUUCCUGGGCCUCAAACACCUCUAUGCUUCCCGCCUUAUCAACAAACCAGACCUACUCACCCAUGCAGGGGCACAGGAUGAAGACCACAAUGAGGAGAUUCCCAGUGAUGAAGAUGAGGUGAACGAGAACCAUAACGCCAUGCAGCAGCAGUCCAGCAUGCCCACGGGCCAGGCAGGUGAGGAUGAUGAUGAGGAUGAAGAUGAUUACUGGGAUGAUGACGGCUUAGAGGGAACACCCCUUGAGGAGUACAGCACGCCUUUAGAUUACGACAACGGAGAAGACGAGUAUCGCUUCUUCACCUCGGUCCUGCUCCGGGUCCAGAACAGUGAUGCAGCCUGGUACCAGAGUUUGACAGCUCCGCUCAGCGACGACCAGAAGAAACAGCUGCAGGAGAUCUACAGCAUCUCACAGCAGAGAGGGAGCACAGCCACCAAGGGCCAGUGAGCGCUGAGGAGACAUGACGGACUGCAGAAUCAAAUAAGGGGCACGAAGAAGAGAGGAGCUGGUCUGACCUGACCUGAAGCGGAUUUCAUUCUAAUCUGAAUGAUCUCAGUCCAGAUCAGACCAUAUCAGACUAACUGGAUCCCACCAGGUCCCCUAGGUGCCAUCAUCAUUUGGGACAUGGUGCACUGUAAAGAGAGCCCCUACUGGAAUUUCCCUAUCUCCAGGACAGGACCGCUGGCCUGUGUGUGUGUGUGUGUGUGUGUGUGUGUGUGUGUGUGUGUGUGUGUGGACUCCAGAGAAAGGUCUGCAUUAUAGAUAUAAAUGUCCUUGACCAGCAAAAUAAGUUUAAGUUCUUGUACAGUGCAGUCCUUUGAUGUUUGAUAAGUAACUGUGUGUGUGCGCGCGUGUGUGUCUGAGAAGCUGUAAGAAAUAAAAAAGACAUCAGUGUGAGUUUAUACGUACUGUAAGCACUUGUCUUUGUCUCUCUGUAGUUGAAUACUUUUCUAUCAUCUCAUGAGGCAAAGGCCUAAAAUGAGCAAGAAGAGCCCAAUUUCUGUCAGGGUGCCUUGUAUACACAAUGCAGAUGAACAAGAAGGUCAAAGAUCAAAGACUUGAGGCCUCCAGGCAAUGACUGCCUGACGUCUGGAAUCCAUGGACAUCACCAAACGCUGGGUUUCCCCCUUUGUGAUGCUUUGCCAGGCCUUUACUGCAGCUGUCUUCAGUUGUUGCUUGUUUGUGGGUCUUUCUGCCGUAAGUUUUGUCUUAAGCAAGUGAAAUGCAUGCUUGAUGGGUUGAGAUCUGGGGCCUCAUGUACAAAGGGUGCGUAUGCACAAAAACGUGGCAUACGUCCUUUUCCACGGCAAAGUUCAGAUGUAUCAAGAGUGAAAUGACCGUGGAAACGUGCGGUGCCUCACGCCAACUUCAUGGCUGGCGUACGCACGUUUCUACAGCUGUUGAUCCUUUGGCAACACCUAGAGGUGAUGCUGGGAAACUUAUAAUAAAUAAAUGUGAAAACAAUUAGUCCUCAGCCAUCACAGGAUGAAUUUGUUUAUGUCAACAGGAAGCAUUUUCAUUCGAUCAAUGUACAGAUCAUAUGUGAUGCGCAAAUGCAAUUAACCAACAUUGUGGCGAGGUGGCCUGGUUCAACGCAUGAUUCAUUCAUUCUGAGUAACAGCAUGGUUGGGAACAGACUACAAGCUGGCACUGUGCGUGAUGGGUGGCUUCUUGGUGAGUAAAUAAUUUAUUUGUUUAAUUGUCCUAAUAUUAAUCCCCCUGAUGCGCAUUGAGCAUGUGCGCCCCCAAAUAUAAUCCUGUCUUUACAGCAUCAGUGCCAGUAAGUGGUUAAAGUUAGUGACUUACUGUUUUUUGCUGGUCAAACUACAGCUUCAGAGCUUUCUAACAAGCCCCUGAUUGUUUCUGUGUGUAAAGUACUCAUGUCAAUAAACCCGUGCAUAAUGUGUGAAAUUUCUUAA